UGGGGAAUAUUGCACAAUGGGCGAAAGCCUGAUGCAGCAACGCCGCGUGAGGGACGACGGCCUUCGGGUUGUAAACCUCUUUUAGCAAGGAAGAAGCGAAAGUGACGGUACUUGCAGAAAAAGCGCCGGCUAACUACGUGCCAGCAGCCGCGGUAAUACGUAGGGCGCAAGCGUUAUCCGGAAUUAUUGGGCGUAAAGAGCUCGUAGGCGGUUUGUCGCGUCUGCUGUGAAAACCCGAGGCUCAACCUCGGGCCUGCAGUGGGUACGGGCAGACUAGAGUGCGGUAGGGGAGAUUGGAACUCCUGGUGUAGCGGUGGAAUGCGCAGAUAUCAGGAAGAACACCGAUGGCGAAGGCAGAUCUCUGGGCCGUAACUGACGCUGAGGAGCGAAACGGGUGGGGAGCAAACAGGCUUAGAUACCCUGGUAGUCCACCCCGUAAACGUUGGGAACUAGUUGUGGGGUCCAUUCCACGGAUUCCGUGACGCAGCUAACGCAUUAAGUUCCCCGCCUGGGGAGUACGGCCGCAAGGCUAAAACUUGAAAUGAAUUGACGGGGUCAUAGCU
RNAcentral lists this ribosomal RNA (563 nucleotides) under uncultured bacterium. RNAcentral describes it as "partial 16S ribosomal RNA". It matches the Rfam family "Bacterial small subunit ribosomal RNA", at positions 355 to 926 of the family's 1533-position model. The record is from RNAcentral.